UAUCAGGGGUUUUCUCAAAUUACAGUGGAUGCCCUCUAUGCCCUCCAUCUGUUUGGAGCAUCUCCAAAAAACUGUUUUUGUUUGCUUCUUCCUUGUUUUCGAUGUUCACAUUCAUGUCCAAUAAAAAGUCUUCUGCAUUACAGUUUUCCUGAACCAGAUAAUGGAAGGGCAUGAAAUUUCGGUAUUUUGUGCUAUGGAAGAGAGAAGGGAUAGAUGUAGAAGAGUACUAAAAAGGGACUCAUUGUUUGAGGUUUGUAGUGAGCCAGGCCAAGUUACCUAUGUUAAGAAAUUCACUUCUUGUGGCUGCAAUGCCAACUGCCUCCACAAGCCAGAUUCUUGGAAACAACGAGUGGUUUGAGCCAUAUGCUUCCAAUAUUUACAGUCGCAGAUUCCUAAGCGGUGAAUUUGUGGUAGUUAACAAACAUCUUCUUCAUGGCUUAACGAGAUGGGUCUCUGGUCUUUUGUUAUUAAGAACAAAAUCAUAUAUGACGAUGGCUCUGAUCAGAAGAUCCCAGAAAUCCCUGACGAACUGAAAGCAAUUUAUAAAAUACCAAUCCAACUUCUCUGCUCUGUCCCUUCCAGUUUUCUCUAUUUCAACUCUCAGAAUAAACGAAUACAUUUUUGCUACCACUUCAGGAAUGUUUGGGAGAUCAGGCAGAGGACAUUGGUCGACAUGGCUGUUGCCCGAGGCUCUUACAUAGAUCAGAGCCAAAGCCUCAACAUUCAUAUGGACCAGCCCAAUUUUGCGAGGCUAACUUCCCUACACUUCCAUGUUUGGUCGAGGGGUUUGAAGAUCAGAAUGUACUAUCUUCGCUCACAUGCUGCAGCCAAUGCAAUCAAAAUCACUGUCGAUACUUCCAUGCCCAGGGUAACCUGUAUUCAAUUCUGAAGAUCAGAAUGUACUAUUUUCGCUCACAUGCUGCAGCCAAUGCAAUCAAAUUGGCAGCUCAUUCAUGAGGGAGCUUCUCAAAUUACAUUGGAUUCUCUCUUUGAAAUCAUUUGAUGACUCAUCGUGAUAGACGGGCAUCUCUUUCCCAAAAUUUAGACAUUUCACUGAUGAAAAACAAUGCUCUUGUUCAGGCUCAGAUUGCUGCAUCUCUUUCCCAGCUCAGACAACAUUGUAAUUGAGAUCAAACCAAAUUAAUCUGCGUAGAUAUGUUCAAAUUCUGAGUAAAAGUUUCUGACUGAUUUACCGUUUCCAUGUUGGAUGAUAUGAACAAGUGUCCCUUAGCAAAGAACAAUAAUAAAUAUGGAGAGCUGAUGAAUAUUCAGGUGGCUACCCUGGGGAAUGGUGCAACUACGGUUUCCGCAACCAAAUUUUUUGCUUCUAUGGUUGGCAUCCCAGUGUUUGUUACCGGGGAAAACAAGAUGUAUACUGGCAUGGAGAGCAGAGAAACUCAGGGAGUUUGUGUUGCUGCUUACAAGACUCAUGAGUUCUCAACUUUUUCCAUUGAAACUAGUGGCUGCAAUAAAAAGGAGCUGAGUGGGAAAGCAGUUCAACAUGCUAGGCAACCGUUGAAGGCAUAUAUGAGGCAAUUUUUUUCCUUUUCUUUAUAUCAAUCUAUUUGUUCUAUCCAAUUUGUGAUUUAAAAUUUAAUUCACUUGUGAUGAAAAUACUUUAGAGUUAAUUGUCGAUGGCCCUUCAUCCAUUUGGAACAUUUCCCAUAUACUUUCUGUAUAAUCAUAGCCAUCCAUCAUCACCAGUUAUGGGAGCAGAAGAUUGUUGAAGACAACCUCAUGACAUGCAGUGUUUUGUGCUAUUGGAAGAGAGAAGGGAUAUAUGUAGAAGAGUACUCAAGAAGAACUUAUUUAAGGUUUGCCUUACUGAGACAUUUGUUCUCCUUGAUCUUAUUGAAACCGGGCAUCAAAUUCACUCUGCCAAACUUUUUUGUCAUACUGGAAAACAUUGACUGGCCAGCAAAUACCUUGUGUAUCCUCACUUCUUGAAGGUUAUCAAAGAGAGGACGGAUGGUGUUAGAUGAGAUCAUUUAAUGGCCAAAGCUAAAGAAUCGAAGAAAAUUUUCUAAUAGUUGUGAAGGAUAAGUGUGACAGCUAAGUUAUGGAAGUUAGAUAUGCAAAACACUAAAUAUAUGAUCAUAACUACAUAUUGGGUGUAACCAGAAAGAACUUUAAAUAAAUGUACUAUUAGGUUUGUCCAUGUUCCUCCCUCGAGGAAAGGGGAAAAUGUUGCGUAAGCUGUAUUCAAUUGUUUUAAUGAAUGUAGUAUUCCAAAUAAGGUAAA
RNA transcript from Mangifera indica (mango), 2242 nucleotides. RefSeq lists it as uncharacterized. The record is from RefSeq and is a predicted model, not a curated record. NCBI's taxonomy places the organism in Eukaryota, Viridiplantae, Streptophyta, Magnoliopsida, Sapindales, Anacardiaceae. The transcript is spliced from 13 exons.